RNAcentral lists this ribosomal RNA (465 nucleotides) under uncultured Klebsiella sp. Its description in RNAcentral is "bacterial SSU rRNA". It matches the Rfam family "Bacterial small subunit ribosomal RNA", at positions 338 to 795 of the family's 1533-position model. Lineage: Bacteria; Pseudomonadati; Pseudomonadota; Gammaproteobacteria; Enterobacterales; Enterobacteriaceae. The record is from RNAcentral.
CCUACGGGAGGCAGCAGUGGGGAAUAUUGCACAAUGGGCGCAAGCCUGAUGCAGCCAUGCCGCGUGUGUGAAGAAGGCCUUCGGGUUGUAAAGCACUUUCAGCGGGGAGGAAGGCGUUAAGGUUAAUAACCUUGUCGAUUGACGUUACCCGCAGAAGAAGCACCGGCUAACUCCGUGCCAGCAGCCGCGGUAAUACGGAGGGUGCAAGCGUUAAUCGGAAUUACUGGGCGUAAAGCGCACGCAGGCGGUCUGUCAAGUCGGAUGUGAAAUCCCCGGGCUCAACCUGGGAACUGCAUUCGAAACUGGCAGGCUAGAGUCUUGUAGAGGGGGGUAGAAUUCCAGGUGUAGCGGUGAAAUGCGUAAAGAUCUGGAGGAAUACCGGUGGCGAAGGCGGCCCCCUGGACAAAGACUGACGCUCAGGUGCGAAAGCGUGGGGAGCAAACAGGAUUAGAUACCCUUGUAGUC